This 131-nucleotide ribosomal RNA is filed under the name uncultured bacterium. RNAcentral's name for it is "partial 16S ribosomal RNA". It matches the Rfam family "Bacterial small subunit ribosomal RNA", at positions 356 to 504 of the family's 1533-position model. The record is from RNAcentral.
GGGGAAUAUUGCACAAUGGGGGAAACCCUGAUGCAGCGACGCCGCGUGAGUGAAGAAGUAUUUCGGUACUUAAAGCUCUAUCAGCAGGGAAGAAAAUGACGGUACCUGACUAAGAAGCCCCGGCUAACUAC